RNAcentral lists this ribosomal RNA (301 nucleotides) under uncultured bacterium. RNAcentral describes it as "partial 16S ribosomal RNA". It matches the Rfam family "Bacterial small subunit ribosomal RNA", at positions 509 to 807 of the family's 1533-position model. The record is from RNAcentral.
CAGCAGCCACGGUAAUACGUAGGGGGCAAGCGUUAUCCGGAUUUACUUGGUGUAAAGGGAGCGCAGGCGGUCUGGCAAGUUGAGAGUGGAAGCAGGGGGCUCAACCCCCCGACUGCUCCCAAAACUGUUGGACUGGAGUAUGGGAGAGGCAGGCGGAAUUCCUAGUGUAGCGGUGAAAUGCUCAGAUAUUAGGAAGAACACCGGCGGCGAAGGCGGCCUGCUGGACCAAAACUGACGCUGAGGCUCGAGAGCGUGGGGAGCGAACAGGAUUAGAUACCCCGGUAGUCCCUGUCUCUUAUAC